RNAcentral lists this transfer RNA (63 nucleotides) under Tauritermes triceromegas. Its description in RNAcentral is "tRNA-Asp". RNAcentral also lists the same sequence under 2 other names. The record is from RNAcentral. Lineage: Eukaryota; Metazoa; Arthropoda; Insecta; Blattodea; Kalotermitidae.
AAGAAGUUAGUUAAUCAAUAACAUUGACAUGUCAAGUCAAAAUAGCUACCUAAGCACUUCUUU